GUUGCCACCAAUUUGGAAUCCAUUACAGGUAUCAAGAGUGGAAAGAUGGCCUGCAUAAUUUUAAUGACAGUGUCAUUCUUGACCUCCCUUUAUGCCUACAUCUUCGAAACAUGCUACAGGCCCACACUGCUGUCGGGAGAGUGGUUCAGUGUCUGGAGGUCACUAUAGGGGAACAGUUUCCUCCAGCCAAAACAGUGCUCCAUGCCAUCUCCAGAUUUUGAGGCACUCACAGGUCACGAGUAUGAAUACUCUUGUGUGACAUGUGGGGAUCAUCCACCCAUUGUCAUCAUGGAUCUCCACAGAAAAGGAGUAUUCAACAUGUCAAUGAGUGACAUCAAACUACCACCAAAGGAUUUCAAUGGACACAUGGAUAUGGAUGACUUUUGGGAUAAACUGGCCCUGCAAAUGAUUGGUUGUGGCUUUGUAAAAA
Long non-coding RNA from Cyprinus carpio (common carp), 430 nucleotides. RefSeq lists it as uncharacterized. The record is from RefSeq and is a predicted model, not a curated record. NCBI's taxonomy places the organism in Eukaryota, Metazoa, Chordata, Actinopteri, Cypriniformes, Cyprinidae. The transcript has 3 exons.